AGAGUUUGAUCCUGGCUCAGGAUGAACGCUAGCUACAGGCUUAACACAUGCAAGUCGAGGGGAAACGAUAUUGGAAGCUUGCUUCCGAUAGGCGUCGACCGGCGCACGGGUGAGUAACGCGUAUCCAACCUGCCCACCACGUUGGGGAUAACCUUGCGAAAGUAAGACUAAUACCUAAUGAUAUCUCUAGAAGACAUCUGAAAGAGAUUAAAGAUUUAUCGGUGAUGGAUGGGGAUGCGUCUGAUUAGCUUGUUGGCGGGGUAACGGCCCACCAAGGCGACGAUCAGUAGGGGUUCUGAGAGGAAGGUCCCCCACAUUGGAGCUGAGACACGGUCCAAACUCCUACGGGAGGCAGCA
Molecule: ribosomal RNA, 357 nt
Filed under: uncultured bacterium
Lineage: Bacteria
Description: bacterial SSU rRNA
Rfam family: Bacterial small subunit ribosomal RNA
Source: RNAcentral